Molecule: ribosomal RNA, 645 nt
Filed under: uncultured Actinomycetes bacterium
Lineage: Bacteria; Bacillati; Actinomycetota; Actinomycetes
Description: bacterial SSU rRNA
Rfam family: Bacterial small subunit ribosomal RNA
Source: RNAcentral
CGCGGCCUAUCAGCUUGUUGGUGGGGUGAUGGCCUGCCAAGGCGACGACGGGUAGCCGGCCUGAGAGGGUGACCGGCCACACUGGGACUGAGACACGGCCCAGACUCCUACGGGAGGCAGCAGUGGGGAAUAUUGCACAAUGGGCGCAAGCCUGAUGCAGCGAUGCCGCGUGAGGGAUGAAGGCCUUCGGGUUGUAAACCUCUUUCAGUAGGGAAGAAGCCUUCGGGUGACGGUACCUGCAGAAGAAGCGCCGGCUAACUACGAGCCAGCAGCCGCGGUAAUACGUAGGGCGCAAGCGUUGUCCGGAAUUAUUGGGCGUAAAGAGCUCGUAGGCGGUUUGUCGCGUCUGCUGUGAAAACGCGGGGCUUAACCUCGCGCCUGCAAUGGGUACGGGCAGACUAGAGUGCGGUAGGGGAGACUGGAAUUCCUGGUGUAGCGGUGGAAUGCGCAGAUAUCAGGAGGAACACCGAUGGCGAAGGCAGGUCUCUGGGCCGUUACUGACGCUGAGGAGCGAAAGCAUGGGGAGCGAACAGGAUUAGAUACCCUGGUAGUCCAUGCCGUAAACGUUGGGCACUAGGUGUGGGACCCAUUCCACGGGUUCCGUGCCGCAGCUAACGCAUUAAGUGCCCCGCCUGGGGAGUACGG